UGGUCGAUGAGACCGCACCGCGAAUCUCCCGAGAACAGUCGCUUCCACGGCCUCGGAGCGGGCGAGUUGUUGAUCCCCUUGGAAAAAAGGAAAACACGCUCUCUUGUUGCGGCGACGAGUGUAAUGGCCACCGUGGGCCUAGGAUAGUAAAGGAGGUGGUUGGGAUUCUUUGAUCAAAACGCUGGCAAUCAACAAACGACUUAUCAGCUAGUUAAGAUCAGUGAAUUUAAUUCGUGUGUGUCGAACUGCCGCUUUUUCAUUUUGAUCAGUGGCUUUUGCCCGGUGAAGAGUGCGUGUACAUCAAGUAGUGCAUCAGUGUACUUAAUGUGUGCCAGCCAUUGUCGAGCGUGCAUCGUAGUGCCGGUCAUCUAAUCAUCGACCACACUGGAUAAUAUUGCUUAUUCGUUUUGUUAUUGGAUUCUAUCUUUUUAAUACACAACGCAUCAACGGUCCGAGGCGGGGAAUAAUUCGGAACAACGACUUUCCUCACUUCCACGAAAACGGCCUCCUAUUAUUAGGUUACCGUUGAAUACCAGACCGCGAUAAGCAAUCCUUAGGAAUCAAGAAACAAGAAUCCGAAAAAUCCUUAGAAUCCUUAGAAAACAACCAGGUUUCAAUCUGUCGCUUCUUCUCUGUCAGCUUACCCGUCGAAAUUACGUUUUCGAGUCACUUCACGGAACGAGAUUUGCCUAUGCAUCAAGGGAGGGAGAGAAGUUCACCCUCUAUCGACGGAAUUUUUGCAAUACACUUUUGAAUAGCCGCCACUGCUUGUGCUCGACUGAGCGCUCCGAGCUUUUCAACGGGAUACACACAAACCUGGGUACACAUGCACCCGGGUAAAGAGACAAAUCGUGGCUUAGGGCGUGAGAAAGAUGGAGU
Molecule: long non-coding RNA, 879 nt
Organism: Apis dorsata (giant honeybee)
Lineage: Eukaryota; Metazoa; Arthropoda; Insecta; Hymenoptera; Apidae
Exons: 3
Source: RefSeq, a predicted model, not a curated record